RNAcentral lists this ribosomal RNA (489 nucleotides) under uncultured bacterium. RNAcentral's name for it is "partial 16S ribosomal RNA". It matches the Rfam family "Bacterial small subunit ribosomal RNA", at positions 28 to 507 of the family's 1533-position model. The record is from RNAcentral.
GACGAACGCUGGCGGCGUGCUUAACACAUGCAAGUCGAACGGUGAAGGGAUCAGCUUGCUGGUUCUGGAUGAGUGGCGAACGGGUGAGUAACACGUGAGUAACCUGCCCCCUUCUUCUGGAUAACCGCAUGAAAGUGUGGCUAAUACGGGAUAUUCUGGGUCUGUCGCAUGAUGGGUCUGGGAAAGAUAUUGUUUCGGUGGGGGAUGGGCUCGCGGCCUAUCAGCUUGUUGGUGGGGUGAUGGCCUACCAAGGCGGUGACGGGUAGCCGGCCUGAGAGGGUGGACGGUCACACUGGGACUGAGACACGGCCCAGACUCCUACGGGAGGCAGCAGUGGGGAAUAUUGCACAAUGGGCGCAAGCCUGAUGCAGCGACGCCGCGUGAGGGAUGGAGGCCUUCGGGUUGUAAACCUCCUUCGCCAGUGAAGCAGGCCUGCUCCUUGUGGGUGGGUUGACGGUAGCUGGAGAAGAAGCGCCGGCUAACUACGUG